UUUCUCUAUAGCCCAUCUCGGCCCGGCAGAUUCAGCGUCAAAAUGAGCCGAUACGUAUCUCACCAAAUUCGUCGGAUACCAAUCUGCCUCUAUUGAUAUAUCCAAAAUAAAAAUUUUAUUUCCUUCCUACCCUUUUCUCCCAACGCUCUUUCAAUCCUUCAUCUCUUUCAAUCUCAGAAUAUACUUCUUCCAACACUCUUCAAGCAAAUGGCUGACAUCUGCAAAAUAAUCAUCCGAGACAUAGUGCUAGGGCGUGAUGACACGAUGUUGAUGCCGGAUUGCAGAUGUGGAAAGGAAAUGUCAGUUUAGUGUGUGGGCAAGGAUGCGCAACCAUGGUGCAAUGGCUAGUAUGUUUAUUUUAUUUAGAUUUGUAAUUGAUAGACUUGUGUAAAAACAAAAUGGAACUAAUAUGUGGAGUAGUAGUUUGUGUGGAUAUUUCACUUUCUAGAGUGAGAUAUCAGUGUUAUUAUUUCUCAAGUUUUGGUUUAUGAUGGUGAACAUGCUGAACAUGUUGUGUAUGUUUUGUUAGUUAUCUGCUAAACUGCUACACAUUUGCUGACUGAAUCAAAGAUUUUUUGGAGUCUA
Long non-coding RNA from Salvia hispanica, 585 nucleotides. RefSeq lists it as uncharacterized. NCBI's taxonomy places the organism in Eukaryota, Viridiplantae, Streptophyta, Magnoliopsida, Lamiales, Lamiaceae. The record is from RefSeq and is a predicted model, not a curated record.